RNAcentral lists this long non-coding RNA (661 nucleotides) under Pan troglodytes (chimpanzee). RNAcentral describes it as "lincRNA". The record is from RNAcentral. Lineage: Eukaryota; Metazoa; Chordata; Mammalia; Primates; Hominidae.
GGCUUGGGGAGCAGCCGUUGGCUCUGGUGCCCCUGGGGGUGGGAGCACGAGUGGGCAAGGAUGAUGGUGAGGCAGAGGAGGCGGCCCCGACCCGGCGAGCUCGAGGGAGCGCCCGGCUGAGAGGCGGGGGGCCGAGGGGCCCGGGGAGCGGGCGCCACCGAGGGCCCUGGAAGCGGCAGGGCUUGGGGAGAGGAGACGCGUGUGUGGAGCGUGGGGACCCCAGCCCAGCUCCCACUUGCAGACCUGGGCCGCGGGCUGCCGGCCGAGUGGCCGGGGGGCCUGGCUGCCCAGGAGGCGGGCCGGGGCCGCGGCCGGGGGCGCGGAGCGGAGUUAGGGUCACCAGGCCGAGCAGAGGUGGGACGGACCGACGCAGAGAGGAAGGGAAGCCACCUGGCCUGAAGAUCCUGUCUCUAAGAUCCCAUUCUGAGGCUUCGAGGGUCUGGCUUGAGCAGCACAGACAGGGACGUGUCUAACCGGGAUGACCAUGAGGUCUCAUCGCAGUUUGCCACUAACCAGGUCCACGCUGCUUUUAUGAGCUGUAACACUCACCGCGAAGAUCUGCAGCUUCACUCCUGAGCCCAGCGAGACCACGAGCCCACCGGGAGGAGCGGACAACUCCAGACGCACCACCUUAAGAGCUGUAACACUCACCGCGAAGGUC